GUUUCUAUAGUUUAAAUAAAACGCUGGUCUUGUAAACCUGAGAUACGCUUCCGGGCGUUCUAAACA
Molecule: transfer RNA, 66 nt
Filed under: Lepas anserifera
Lineage: Eukaryota; Metazoa; Arthropoda; Thecostraca; Lepadidae
Description: tRNA-Thr
Rfam family: tRNA
About the family: Transfer RNA (tRNA) molecules are approximately 80 nucleotides in length. Their secondary structure includes four short double-helical elements and three loops (D, anti-codon, and T loops).
Source: RNAcentral